CCUACGGGAGGCAGCAGUGAGGAAUAUUGGUCAAUGGGCGAGAGCCUGAACCAGCCAAGCCGCGUGAAGGAUGAAGGAUCUAUGGUUUGUAAACUUCUUUUAUAUGGGAAUAAAGUGAGGAACGUGUUCCUUUUUGUAUGUACCAUAUGAAUAAGCAUCGGCUAACUAAGUGCCAGUAGCCGCGGUAAUACGGAGGAUGCGAGCGUUAUCCGGAUUUAUUGGGUUUAAAGGGUGCGUAGGUGGUUAAUUAAGUCAGCGGUGAAAGGUUGUGGCUCAACCAUAAAAUUGCCGUUGAAACUGGUUGACUUGAGUAUAUGUGAGGUAGGCGGAAUGCGUGGUGUAGCGGUGAAAUGCAUAGAUAUCACGCAGAACUCCGAUUGCGAAGGCAGCUUACUAAACUAUAACUGACACUGAAGCACGAAAGCGUGGGGAUCAAACAGGAUUAGAUACCCUUGUAGUC
This 460-nucleotide ribosomal RNA is filed under the name uncultured bacterium. Its description in RNAcentral is "partial 16S ribosomal RNA". It matches the Rfam family "Bacterial small subunit ribosomal RNA", at positions 338 to 795 of the family's 1533-position model. The record is from RNAcentral.